RNAcentral lists this ribosomal RNA (439 nucleotides) under uncultured bacterium. RNAcentral's name for it is "bacterial SSU rRNA". It matches the Rfam family "Bacterial small subunit ribosomal RNA", at positions 949 to 1388 of the family's 1533-position model. The record is from RNAcentral.
AUUCGAUGCAACGCGAAGAACCUUACCAAGGCUUGACAUAUAGUUGAGUUAUUGAGAAAUUGAUAAGUCCCUCGGGACAGCUAUACAGGUGGUGCAUGGUUGUCGUCAGCUCGUGUCGUGAGAUGUUGGGUUAAGUCCCGCAACGAGCGCAACCCUUAUCUUCAGUUACCAGCACGUAAUGGUGGGGACUCUGGAGAGACUGCCGAUGAUAAAUCGGAGGAAGGUGGGGAUGACGUCAAAUCAUCAUGCCCUUUAUGUCUUGGGCUACACACGUGCUACAAUGGUUGGUACAACGAGAAGCGAGAUAGUGAUGUCAAGCAAAACUCUAAAAGCCAAUCUCAGUUCGGAUUGUAGGCUGCAACUCGCCUACAUGAAGUCGGAGUUGCUAGUAAUCGUGAAUCAGAAUGUCGCGGUGAAUACGUUCCCGGGCCUAGUACAC